AUACGGAGGGUGCAAGCGUUACUCGGAAUCACUGGGCGUAAAGCGCGCGCAGGCGGGCUGAUAAGUUGGAUGUGAAAGCCUACGGCUCAACCGUAGAACUGCAUCCAAAACUGUCAGUCUAGAGUGUGGGAGAGGAAGAUGGAAUUAGUUGUGUAGGGGUAAAAUCCGUAGAGAUAACUAGGAAUACCAAAAGCGAAGGCAAUCUUCUGGAACACUACUGACGCUGAGGUGCGAAGGCGUGGGGAGCAAACAGGAUUAGAAACCCCGGUAGUCC
Molecule: ribosomal RNA, 274 nt
Filed under: uncultured bacterium
Lineage: Bacteria
Description: partial 16S ribosomal RNA
Rfam family: Bacterial small subunit ribosomal RNA
Source: RNAcentral